UGAACAAUGCUGAGGAAGAGUAAGUACGCAUCAGCGCGCGGGGUUCAGAGAGUCGGUGGCCGCUGUGAACCGAUCCCCGUCCGGUGCCGAAUGGGCUUCUGAAUUGCUGCGCUGAAAUGACAGUAGGCGGUGCCGGGAUUCUUUCCCCGUUAUCAAGAAAGGAGUAUUGAAACCGUGUGUUUCUGUACUUUUUGAGAGAAUGGCUUAUCAGCCGUUAAUAAAGGUGGCACCGCGAAAACCUCGUCCUUUGA
Molecule: non-coding RNA, 251 nt
Organism: Bacillus amyloliquefaciens
Lineage: Bacteria; Bacillati; Bacillota; Bacilli; Caryophanales; Bacillaceae
Source: Rfam